RNAcentral lists this non-coding RNA (150 nucleotides) under Paraburkholderia sp. BL27I4N3. Lineage: Bacteria; Pseudomonadati; Pseudomonadota; Betaproteobacteria; Burkholderiales; Burkholderiaceae. The record is from RNAcentral.
CCUGCUGUACGACCAGCAGUUGCCUAUUCGGACGUGCGCGAUUGGUAACGAUCGGGUGCGAAGCUUCGGAGACAACGUACCCUUCAGUAGACGGUUCACCGUGGCGACACGGCAGGAAUCGACACUGCCAGCAGCCGUGCGGUGUGGGGG